RNAcentral lists this ribosomal RNA (486 nucleotides) under Stenotrophomonas nitritireducens. Its description in RNAcentral is "bacterial LSU rRNA". It matches the Rfam family "Bacterial large subunit ribosomal RNA", at positions 86 to 629 of the family's 2925-position model. The record is from RNAcentral. Lineage: Bacteria; Pseudomonadati; Pseudomonadota; Gammaproteobacteria; Lysobacterales; Lysobacteraceae.
CUGGCAACAAGCUUUGAUCCGGCAAUGUCCGAAUGGGGAAACCCACCGCUUCGGCGGUAUUGCAUGGUGAAUACAUAGCCAUGCAAGGCGAACCCGGUGAACUGAAAUAUCUAAGUAACCGGAGGAAAAGAAAUCAACCGAGAUUCCCUGAGUAGCGACGAGCGAACGGGGAACAGCCCUUAAGCUGGUAUGGUUCUAGAAAAACGGUCUGGAAAGGCCGGCCAUAGAAGGUGAUAGCCCUGUAUUUGAAAGGGCCAUUCCAGUGAAGACGAGUAGGGCGGGGCACGUGAAACCCUGUCUGAACAUGGGGGGACCAUCCUCCAAGGCUAAAUACUACUGACCGACCGAUAGUGAACCAGUACCGUGAGGGAAAGGCGAAAAGAACCCCGGAGAGGGGAGUGAAAUAGAACCUGAAACCGUGUGCGUACAAGCAGUAGGAGCUCGAAAGAGUGACUGCGUACCUUUUGUAUAAUGGGUCAGCGACUU